GAUGAACGCUGGCGGCGUGCCUAACACAUGCAAGUCGAACGGAGUCCAGCCUUAGAGACCUUCGGGUCAAAGAGGGGAAGACUGAGUGGCGGACGGGUGAGUAACACGUGGGCAACCUGGCUCAUAGAGGGGGAUAACAGAGAGAAAUUUCUGCUAAUACCGCAUAAGCACACACUGCCGCAUGGCAGAGUGUGAAAAGAGAAUCGCUAUGAGAUGGACCCGCGUCUGAUUAGCCAGUUGGCAGGGUAAGAGCCUACCAAAGCGACGAUCAGUAGCCGAUUUGAGAGGAUGAACGGCCACAUUGGGACUGAGACACGGCCCAAACUCCUACGGGAGGCAGCAGUGGGGGAUAUUGCACAAUGGGGGGAACCCUGAUGCAGCGACGCUGCGUGAGUGAAGAAGUAUUUCGGUAUGUAAAGCUCUAUCAGCAGGGAAGAUAAUGACAGUACCUGAAUAAGAAGCCCCGGCUAACUACGUG
RNAcentral lists this ribosomal RNA (478 nucleotides) under uncultured bacterium. RNAcentral describes it as "partial 16S ribosomal RNA". It matches the Rfam family "Bacterial small subunit ribosomal RNA", at positions 28 to 507 of the family's 1533-position model. The record is from RNAcentral.